AGACUUCCCAUAGGGUUCAGGUCAAUCUCCCGCCCACCUCUCCUGCCCUCCACUGCUCUUUCUUCUCUGUCUCUGGGGGAGACAUGUCAUCUGGUUCUGGUCAAGCCACAUGAUCACCUCUCUGACCCGAAGGACUAUCUCAGGACUCAGUACGUAACUGAAGCAAGGCCAAGGAGCUCUGCAGUCAGAAACAAGUUCUUCUUUGUCAGACUGAAAGCUGGUGAAAAUCAGACUGUCAACCCUGAAGUCACCAUAUGGACAGAGCUGCCCUAUAGGAGGGAAGCGAACAAGGGGAAAGAGCUGGAAGACUGGUGCCAGCAUUUGCCACCCUGCACUGAAGCCAGUCACCUUCUUGUGUGCAUGAGGAUUUUUGCCUUUCGAAAUUCAAAUGUAAGAAAGAAGCUACCCUUUGAAUGAUACUUAGUAUGUGAAAUGACUUGAACUUUAUUUAAAAAUUUACAUUUUCAGACUUCUUCAGCAUCCUAAAUUUAUGAACAGAGAGAAAAAAAAACUAGACAGAAAUCAUCACAUAAUCAUUUAUAUUUUAAGUGGCACAACACAACAAGCAACUAAAAUUAUUUUGAUAUGAAAAUUGUUUGUUGGACAUUCAAUGCCAUUAUCAAGUCUUACUCUUUUUUCAGUGUCCACAUACUUUUAGCUUUGCUGUUCUGGGAACCCAUUUAUUAAGAAAUGUGCAUUUUAAAAAAUGCAUAUUAUUUACAUUAGGAUUUUCACUGAAAAAAUACAAUUAAAGAAACUAAGGCUUUCCAUUCCCCCAAAUUUAAUGUUAUUUUUCCCCAACCAGUAUACAGAGAUAUCAUAUAACAUUAUACAGGUUUAUUUAAAGCUAUUUAUAGCAGAUACAUUUUAAUAUAAAAUGAACUUUUCCAACAUACCUCAUUUUUUUCAGUUCUACUCAGUAUCUGAUUUUAAAUGUCUGCAGAUUUCAUUGAUUUGAAAAACAUUCAACUCAAUACACAAAGUAUAUUGAUGACUGCCAGUACAAAAAAAUUAUCCAUAAAUGAAAAGUUUUAGCUCUAGUGGAACAUUACAGUAGGAAAAUAAGGAAGUAAUACUCCCCAUGCCUGUAUUAUUAUUCACUGACUAGUUACUGCCACAAUGUGUGAACAAGUUUGUGCAUUAUUCCCACUUUUCUCUAUCAGACAGUCCUGGAUUUUCAUUUCUGGUUGUUUUUUCAAGUGCAUUAUGUGAAACUCUGGACAAGAGUUAUUCAUAUUAAAAUUACUCUUUAAAAGUGAAGGCAAUAUUCUCUACGGCAGAAUUAAAACAGAGCAAGACAUGACAACAUUCCAGUGUCUCUAGAAAACCCCCAUCCAUCUCUCACAUGGACGGAAUUUGCUCCAAGCUGGGAGCUCUGAACUUAGCAGGCAGAGUGAAUCGCAUAUAUAGUAUUCCCUAAGAAAAUGGUUGAUUUGGAAAUCUUGUGCUUUCACUAUUACUGGCAUUAAUUAUUGCUUGCAAAUAAUGAUAUCCAAAGCAGUUGCAUUUACUGAUCAUAUGUUAAAAUACUUGACAGGGAAAACAGCAAAAACAUCACAGCUACCUUUAUCUCUUGUUAUUGUGACUUUGAGCACAAAAAAAUAUUAACGAUCAAGGCUGUGACAAAAUUGGUUUCUUCUCCUCGAAAGCUAUACAUAUAACACUAAAUAAGUUCUGGAGAUUAAAAUGAAAGAAGAGUUUUAUUAAAAAGUAGGCACUGUGGAAACGGGUAUAAAUGAAAUAACCUGAAAAAUAUUACAUUUCUAUUUUUUUCUAAAUGAGGCAAUCUUAAAUAUAAUAUUGUAGAAGCACUAACUAUUACUUUUGCUAUAAGUGUUAAAAAUGUCAUUCCUGAGCUUGCUGGAGAAAAUUAAAUUUCUUAAAGUAAGCAAAUAGGAAAGAAAUGGUUUCCCUAGAUGGGAGGCUGAACUUGGAUCAAUAUCUCAGCCAAUUACUUUGUCAUUUUCCCAUAUAUCAGAUUUUUCAUUUGGGAUAUAGUCAUACUGUACUUUAUUUCCUAACUACUGGCCCCUAAGUAUGUCACAUCUUUAAAGAGCUGAAAUGUUCAGCUGAAAAGUGGUAUAUAAGUAAAAGUUAUUGUUACUAAAAAUUUGCCAUUGCAGGUAGCUUCUCUUUUUUACUAGUGAGAACAUAAAAACAAAAUGAGAUUUUUACAUCAGGUUUGACUUAAAUAACAUUUCAAGUAUCUCCUUUAAAAUGAUAUUCUGAAAAACAUUAAUAUUCAUGUACCACAAAUUUAAAUACAUUUUCUGAAAGGCAGAAUAUUCCUCGAAUAUCCUUUGUUUUAAUCAUUACUUAUAUAGACUUUUAUAAGUCAUUACUUAUAGACUUAUAUAAAAAUCAAAAGUUAACUUUGGUUCACAUCCUAUCUUUGAGAGUUCCUGAUCUUUUUCAUCCAAAUACCUAACUAAUCAUUUAGAGAUAAAGUUAAUCUCAAACGCAUGAAAGAAAGCUUCAGACAAUAACAUUUCAUUUAAAAAGUUAUAUUCGAUGAAGAAAUGGUCUAAUGGAAGUCAUUUGUUCUUGUUUUCAGUU
This 2556-nucleotide long non-coding RNA is filed under the name Canis lupus familiaris (dog). RNAcentral's name for it is "lncRNA (ENSCAFG00040021312.1)". Lineage: Eukaryota; Metazoa; Chordata; Mammalia; Carnivora; Canidae. The record is from RNAcentral.